CGAAGCAGGCGAGGCAAUCGCCGGCGCAGUGUCGAAAGGCAGCGCGGGAGGAAAGUCCGAGCUCUACAGGGCAGGGUGCUGGGUAAUCCCCAGUGGGAGCGAUCCUAAGGAUAGUGCCACAGACAUGGAGACCGCCGAUGGCAGGGCCUAGGGCCUUAGCACAGGCAAGGAUGCAACGGUGCGGUAAGAGCGCACCAGCGCUGCGGAGACGCAGCGGCUAGGUAAACCCCACCUGGAGCAAGACCGCAUAGGAGUGCACAUGUGGUGGCCCGCCACGCACUCGGGUAGGUUGCUUGAGCGCCCUGGCAACAGUGCGCCUAGAUAGAUGAUUGCCACCUCGUCUGUGCGAGGCAAGUGAUCUUGGCGGGACUCCGCAAGGAAGCGCGCGGGGACCUUGCCGCUUGCAGCACGUGAGGAACAGAACUCGGCUUAUUGCCUGCUUCGUCUA
This 448-nucleotide RNase P RNA is filed under the name Bacillota bacterium. RNAcentral describes it as "RNase P RNA component class A". It matches the Rfam family "Bacterial RNase P class A". From Rfam's summary of the family: Ribonuclease P (RNase P) is a ubiquitous endoribonuclease, found in archaea, bacteria and eukarya as well as chloroplasts and mitochondria. Its best characterised activity is the generation of mature 5'-ends of tRNAs by cleaving the 5'-leader elements of precursor-tRNAs. Lineage: Bacteria; Bacillati; Bacillota. The record is from RNAcentral.